Molecule: long non-coding RNA, 2280 nt
Organism: Bubalus bubalis (water buffalo)
Lineage: Eukaryota; Metazoa; Chordata; Mammalia; Artiodactyla; Bovidae
Exons: 7
Source: RefSeq, a predicted model, not a curated record
UCCCCACGACUGCUUCACGCGGCACCUUCUCUUCCAAAGCUCCUGUCAGGUCCCCACACCCACUCUCAGCUGAGAGACAUCAUGCCUAGUUUUCAAAGAAAAUCAAAGCAACCAGAAGUGAAUUUCCCCAGUUGCGGCCCCCAGGUGUGUCUACGUCUGUGCCCACGUGUGGCGUGUGAUUCUCUCCAGGCUCCCUGCACACCUUCCUGUCUCUUCUCCCUGCCCCCCUUCCCCAGUCCCCACUACCUCCUUUUUCUUUCAGCAUCUUUGGAGAGAUUCUGAAUGGUUCCUGUUUGAUGACGCCUCAUCUUUGUCCAGGAACUGGAAAUCGUGGGAGCAGAGGAAAUGGGUCUCAGGAAGAAUGGUGCUGAGCCAAGCUGCCCUGUGCCUGGAAGGGGGGCCAGGAGAGUGCUAGAAACGAAGAACCAGCACCCUCCACAAGGUACUGAAGACCCCAAGACUCUUCACCUCUUCUCAGCUGAGUUCGUUCCUUCCCCGCCCCUGCCCUCUACUUGCCCGCUGAUGCGAUGGUUAAAGCGCACGUCAAGGGGGAUCUGACCAUCUGAGCCCUAAGGCCGUGCCACGGUGUCACAGAGAGCUGUUCUCCUCCUUCUGUGCCCUCCCGUCCUCAGUGUUCCUGGCCCUGCAGCAGCGCUCGGACCCUUCGACACCCUCCACUUGCCCAGCAGCUCAGGUCUCGCGGGUCGAGGUGACUGGCUCCCUGAGCUUGCUGAGGGAGGGACAGUGACGAGCCCCCCGUAUUUUGCAGCCUCGCAUCCCCUCCAGUUUCUGCCAAUGUGCCAGGCCCAGGUAUAGAGGCCCUGGGCGCCAGGCGCUGGCCCUUGGGUCCCUGCCAGGAGGCGCUGCACGUCCAAAAGUGCCCACUCAGUGAUUUCUCUGGUUCACUAGCGCCCAGUGAUGGGAACAGGCCAUCAGGGCGCCUCCAGUAACAGGCCCUGGAGGACGAAGGAGAGGCUCCUCAGGCCCCGUUGCCCACAGGAGGGAGAGGAGGAAGAUUAUAACCCACCACCAUUCUGGACCUUCCUUUCAAGUAGCCCUGAAGAUCCAAACAACGGGGCUGUAAAUCUUUUCUAAUGAACCUCCUCACCCACAAGGGGCUGGCCUUACCCUCCUUUUGUAACAGCCAGACUCCCGCCCUACCACUGGCUUUGGAUGCUCCAGCCUCUGCUUCACGGGGACGCCGCCUCCAUAGAUGUGGGCACAGGAGGGCCUCAACCCCAGAUCUGAAACCCCAGGUCUGAGCAAACCCGAGGUCUUCUGGGACCUCCGUUCUGGGACAAUGAGGCUCCUCCGUGUCUUCCUCACCGCUGUCUUGAUCCCCUUCCAGACAGCACUAGGGCACUCAAUUUUGAAAGACCCUGCCAUCUUCGGGGUGGAAUCUGCCUGAAGCAAGGGACACCAAGCUGUGAGCCCUUCAGAGGACCCUGCCGGGCAUUCACUGUUUACUGCAAAAUAAAGCCGAGCUGAUGGAGGCAGCCCAGCUGAGGAGCCCGCUGAGAGACCCUGAGCAAGUCUCGUCUUGUGCAAAUAAAAGAAGACAGUUCUCACAUCUACACAAUCGAAUGUUUUAUCAUUAGGACUGAUGUUGUUUUCCAUGGCAGGGUAGGCAGUGGGAGGGAGACAGUUAUUAUGCUUUAAAUUCUUGCCUGGAAAAUUCCAUGGACAGAGGAACCAGACAGGCUACAGUCCAUGGGGUUGCAAAGAGUUUGGCAGGACUGAGCGACUGAACACAAAUGUUGCAACAGUGUUUUCAUUCACAGAGCAAAUGUGACCCUUAAGCCACUUUGGCCCGAGGCUGGAGUCCUGAGAGAUGUGCGGUCAUGCGGUGUCUUCCUUGUCCACGUGUCUUGUCCAAGGUGUGGCCCCGUCUGUCGCUUGCUGAGUAGGCUGCCUCUCCAUGCCGGUGUCACUCUCCUCCCUCUGGGGAGGGAGCAGGCCUUGACAAGACCACAGUUCUCUGCUGUUUACAGAGCAGGUUUAGGGCAGGAGGACGGAGACAGGAGGCAAGAUGCCCAGGAAGCGGGGGACAAAGAGGAAGGACAAGAGACACGAGCAUUCUUCCAAAACCUGAACAAUCUCACAGGAAAGAAAGAGUGUGACUGGCAUUACGGUGAUGUGACGAGGACCAGUUCUAUAACUGGGUCCCAAUCAGUGAUGAGUGGGCUCCCUGGUGGCUCAGAUGGUACAGGAUCGGCCUGCUAUGCAGAUUUCUGGGUUGGACAGAACCCCUGGAGGAGGAGACAGCAAUCUAUUCUAGUA